AGUGAACGCUGGCGGUAGGCCUAACACAUGCAAGUCGAACGGCAGCACAGGAGAGCUUGCUCUCUGGGUGGCGAGUGGCGGACGGGUGAGGAAUGCAUCGGAAUCUACUCUUUCGUGGGGGAUAACGUAGGGAAACUUACGCUAAUACCGCAUACGACCUACGGGUGAAAGCCGGGGACCUUCGGGCCUGGCGCGAAAGAAUGAGCCGAUGCCCGAUUAGCUAGUUGGCGGGGUAAGAGCCCACCAAGGCGACGAUCGGUAGCUGGUCUGAGAGGAUGAUCAGCCACACUGGAACUGAGACACGGUCCAGACUCCUACGGGAGGCAGCAGUGGGGAAUAUUGGACAAUGGGCGCAAGCCUGAUCCAGCCAUACCGCGUGGGUGAAGAAGGCCUUUCGGGUUGUAAAGCCCUUUUGUUGGGAAAGAAAAGCAGUCGGUUAAUACCCGAUUGUUCUGACGGUACCCAAAGAAUAAGCACCGCUAAUUC
Molecule: ribosomal RNA, 486 nt
Filed under: Xanthomonas sp. oral taxon 037
Lineage: Bacteria; Pseudomonadati; Pseudomonadota; Gammaproteobacteria; Lysobacterales; Lysobacteraceae
Description: bacterial SSU rRNA
Rfam family: Bacterial small subunit ribosomal RNA
Source: RNAcentral